This 3067-nucleotide long non-coding RNA is filed under the name Homo sapiens (human). Its description in RNAcentral is "HSALNT0313807". The record is from RNAcentral. Lineage: Eukaryota; Metazoa; Chordata; Mammalia; Primates; Hominidae.
UGAGCAAGGACAGCUUGGAGGUUAAAAGCAAGAUACAGUCAGGUCUCACAUCGAGGUCACGCUGAUGAAAAAGGAACUACAGUACUGUUAUGUCAGUAACAUACAUCACAGUCGUACGUCUCCAGGCUUCUUAUCUUCCUUUGAACCUGACCUGGCUACUGUUUGGUGGAUUAUAGAGGAAAAGCUGUAAUGGGAAAGUAGGUUGGGUGAAGGGAUGAGAAAAAGGAAAGCAUCGUGGAGCACAUUAGCAGGCUUUCUCCAUGAAGAAGCAGCCCCAGGCUCCAGAAGCAGAUGAGAAGAUGAGGAGACAAGCAGAUGGAUUGCAAAAUGGUGCAAUAGAGAAAGAGAAAAGAAGAGGAAUGUCUGAACACUGAGAGAUUUCCAGCUGGGGUGGUCAGAGAAGGGUUCAGCCACAAGAUGGCCAAAAUCCAGGGAAGAUCUUCUUCCCACUCCAUUCCCUGCUUCUUGUUCCCCAUCCAUCCCACUGAGAGCCACCUCUACCACUCAAUAAAACCUCUCAUUCAUCCUUCAAGCCCGUGUGUGACCUGAUUUUUCCAAGAUGCUGGGCAAGAGCUCAGGACACAGAAAGCUGUUGAACUGCCCCUCUGCCCUUGCAGAAAGGCAGAGAGUCCACUGAGCUGAUUAACACCCAAGCCAUUCGUGGAUGGCAAGGCUAAAAGGGCACAUUGUAACACACUCCACUUAGGCUCCUUCACCUGCCUGUCUGUGUGCUCCCCCUCCCCUAAGGGGUUUGAGGAGUGCUGGUGACUGAACAGGCGAGCCACACCCAUCAUAUGUCCUUCGAGGGGGAUCAGGGAACUCUCCUGUUUCACUGUAAUAGAGAAAACUGGAGGAGGACCAGUUAUGGGACUGGGAAAGACCAGGAGUUCAGCUUUGGACCUGUUCAGUUUGAGUUGCCUGUAAGUCAGCCAGUGGAGAUGUUUUGUAGACAGCUGGAUACAUAUAUCUGAGCUCCAAGGAGUUAGAAGUAGUAAUUUUGGACUUGUGAGUGUAUAGAUCAUAACUGAAGACAUGGCAUGGAUGAGAUCACACAGGGAAAGAGUACACUAUGAGCAAACAAGACAGCCUCUAUCCAAGUUUUCGAGAAUUGCAAAAUUUAAAAAUUAAGUACAGGAGGUUGGGCUGGAAAGAUGAGAAAAUCAAGGGCACAUCAUAUUACAGAUGACAAUGAAUUUCAAGAAAGAGUCUAAUGUGAGACAUGUACAGAAGAGGUAAAGAAAAAUCAUUAAACUUAGUGAUAUGGAGGUCACUAGAGUCCUUCUAGAAAGCAAAAAAUUGCUUAGAAUUUCAAGGGGACCGUGGAGUUGUCCCCUUAUGUAUGCCCCUGAGCCCAGGUUAAGAACUCCUACCUGUGGAUUCCAAACAGUCAUCUAACAGGGUAACCUAACUGGAUUCAAAGUAUUAAUUUUCUACUCUCUCAAUGGCAAGAAAAAUUGCUUAGCUAACUUUAAUGUCAUUUGAAACUAUGUGAUUUUGUGUCCCAGGCAGGCUAGAGGUUCAAAGAAAGAGGUUAUAUUAAUAUAAAUAAGGCAGCUUCUUUAUUUGUCCAUCGGAAAGUCUGUUCGUCUGCAAUCAUAGAAAGCAUUAGAUAAAUCAGCUGCAGGGAGAUAGCUGUACAGAUGCGAAGCUCUGCCUGAUGAUUCCAGCCUAUUUUCCUGGCAUAAUCAACAGUGACUUAUUCCUUCCCUGGAAACUAAUCUUCCUGUUUGGACCAAUUGUAUUAUUCUUAACCACACCGUAGGUUAUGGGCAACAGCAUGAGUAAAAUCUGGGAAUUCCUGAGAUGCGCUUCCAAAAAACUAUGGUCGGGAAUAUGUAAAUCUGAAUAAAUAAGAGCAUGAGUUUAUAAAAAUUUCCAGUUCCACCCAAUAAACUCUCUUCCUCCCUUUUUUUAAGAGAUAAGAUCUCGCCCUGUCACCAGCCUCUCUCCCUUUUGACCAUUGAACCACUGAAACCCAACUCCAAUUACUGAAGCCAACUAUUUCAUAACUCAGUCUCUCACACUCUUGAGCAGAUUCAAUAAUAGGAAAGUUUAUCUUUCACUUUUUCUGUUUUGGUUCUGGUCCUGCUCUCUGGAUCUUUGUGUUAGUUUCCUAUGGCUGCCAUAACAAAUGACCACAAAUAUGGUGGCUGAAAAUGAUAGAAAUUUAUUCUCUCACAGUUCUAAAAGCAAGGUGUUUGCAGAACUACAUUCCAUCCAAAGGCUCUAGGGGCAGUCUGUUCUUACCUCCUCCAGCUUUUGAUGGCUCCAGAUGUUCCUCAGCGUGUGGCCACAUCACUCUAAUUUUUGCUUCUGUGGUCACAUUGCCUUCUCCUGUCCUCUGUAUGUCUCGUAUAAGGACACUUUUUACUGGAUUUAGGGCAUGCCCAGAUAAUCCAGAAUGAUCUCAUGUCUAGACUCUUAAAUUAUAUCUGCACAGACUCACUUAUGAAAUAAUAUCAUAUUCAUAGGUUCUGGGGAUUAGGAUGUAGACCUAUAUUUGGGGGGAUACAAUUCAACCCACUACCACCUCCAAUGAACACAUCUAUUUUCUCUUUCAUAGAACUGCUUUUUCAAUGGUUGAAGAAGCUGUUAGAUUUCCUCUUGUUCAUAUUAAGGAAAAAAUGGCUGAUGUUACUGAAGCUCUACAAUGUUCCAGGCAUGUGCCAAAAUAAUAUUACAAUGUUAGCGUCUAUUUUUACUUCCUAUUCAUUACCAUUUCCCUUUUGUGCGUUAUAACAGGUGGGGUCUUUUUGCUCACUGCCUCAGGAAAAGGAUGUGGCGAGGGAAAAAGAAUAGUAACUUAUUCUUAUUUUACAAAAUGCUAAAAUCUCAAGCUUUUGGGUAAAGUGAAUCAGCACACGUGUGGGGAGAGAGAAGGAACAGAGCAGAGACAGGGAGACGAUCUAUGGAUCCCAUGAAAGAGGGUGCAUGGGUAGAUGUGAUUGUGCUCAAACUGUCAAAUAGGAUGCUGCAAGGAGCCUGGGGCAAGUCACAACAGAAGAAUUACAAUUUGGCUGGUGUGGUGGCUCACGCCUGUAUUCCCAGCACUUUGGGAGGCCGAGGU